GAUGAACGCCGGCGGUGUGCCUAAUACAUGCAAGUCGUACGCACUGGCCCAACUGAUUGAUGGUGCUUGCACCUGAUUGACGAUGGAUCACCAGUGAGUGGCGGACGGGUGAGUAACACGUAGGUAACCUGCCCCGGAGCGGGGGAUAACAUUUGGAAACAGAUGCUAAUACCGCAUAACAACAAAAACCACAUGGCUUUUGUUUGAAGAUGGCUUUGGCUAUCACUCUGGGAUGGACCUGCGGUGCAUUAGCUAGUUGGUAAGGUAACGGCUUACCAAGGCGAUGAUGCAUAGCCGAGUUGAGAGACUGAUCGGCCACAAAUGGAAACUGAGACACGGUCCAU
Molecule: ribosomal RNA, 344 nt
Filed under: uncultured bacterium
Lineage: Bacteria
Description: bacterial SSU rRNA
Rfam family: Bacterial small subunit ribosomal RNA
Source: RNAcentral